Molecule: small nucleolar RNA, 100 nt
Filed under: Ricinus communis (castor bean)
Lineage: Eukaryota; Viridiplantae; Streptophyta; Magnoliopsida; Malpighiales; Euphorbiaceae
Description: Plant small nucleolar RNA R71
Rfam family: Plant small nucleolar RNA R71
About the family: R71 is a member of the C/D box family of snoRNAs containing the C (UGAUGA) and D (CUGA) box motifs.
Source: Rfam by way of RNAcentral
AAGUUGUGAUGCAGGCAUUAAUCAAAUAAACCUUGAAUCUCUUCGAAGCAUCAUGGAAUGAUUCUCCUUCCUUCUAAGUAAAAUUGCAGAUCCUAAACCU